Non-coding RNA from Nomascus leucogenys (northern white-cheeked gibbon), 381 nucleotides. NCBI's taxonomy places the organism in Eukaryota, Metazoa, Chordata, Mammalia, Primates, Hylobatidae. The record is from the annotation of a RefSeq genome assembly.
AUGAGGUUCCCUGCUCAGCUCCUGGGGCUGCUAAUGCUCUGGGUCCCUGGACCAAGUGGGGAUAUUGUGAUGAUCCAGACUCCACUCUCCUUGCCUGUCACCACUGGAGAACCAGUCCCCAUCUCCUGCAGGUCUAGUCAGAGCCUCUUGCCCAAUGAUGGAUACACCUAUUUGUUUUGGUUCCUGCAGAAGCCAGGCCAGUCUCCACAGCUCCUGAUCUAUUUUGUUUCCUACCGGGCCUCUGGAAUCCCAGACAGGUUCAGUAGCAGUGGGUCAGGCACUGAUUUCGCACUGAAAGUCAGCAGAGUGGGGGCUGAGGAUACUGGGGUUUAUUACUGCAUGCAAGCUCCACAGUUUCCUUCCACAGUGCUACAGCCCUGA